Molecule: ribosomal RNA, 253 nt
Filed under: uncultured bacterium
Lineage: Bacteria
Description: partial 16S ribosomal RNA
Rfam family: Bacterial small subunit ribosomal RNA
Source: RNAcentral
UACGUAGGCAGCAAGCGUUGUUCGGAGUUACUGGGCGUAAAGAGUGCGUAGGCGGUUUUCUAAGUUUGGUGUGAAAUCUCCCGGCUUAACUGGGAGGGUGCGCCGAAAACUGGAAGGCUUGAGUAUGGGAGAGGUAAGCGGAAUUCCUGGUGUAGCGGUGAAAUGCGUAGAUAUCAGGAGGAACACCUGCGGUGUAGACGGCUUACUGGACCAUAACUGACGCUGAGGCACGAAAGCGUGGGUAGCAAACAGG